RNAcentral lists this ribosomal RNA (542 nucleotides) under uncultured bacterium. RNAcentral describes it as "partial 16S ribosomal RNA". The record is from RNAcentral.
AUCAUAGGUUUUUAGAAGAGGCCUUUAAUGAAUGGACUCUNNUUANNNNNGGAUUAGAAAAUGGGGCAAGGUCAAGCUUCNNAACAGNGNNNGGACACCUGAGCAGAUUACACNNNNNAUUAUGUAUGGAAAAAAAUACAAAGCCCCUAAUAAGGUUAAUCCCGGCAAUACUGCAACGCGCUACGAGUACGAAGGGCGAUUUAUUGUACAAGAUGAUAAAACAAAUGAGGUUCUACAGGUUAGUGGAAAGAGUUUUGCACCCAAUAAAUUACCGUANAGGAUAGAAACAUGACUGAGAAACAUAUUGAAGUUUACGUANCACUUCUUGAAGAAGGAACAGACACAAUUAGGGCUACACAAUCANNNGAUAUGGGCAAUGGCAUCGUUAANCUUUUGCCAACGCCUUGGUACGACCCUGAAGAUGAAAUUUGGGAAUUUCUUCCAGGCACGGUUGUGCGCAUAAAAAAAGCUCAUGAUUUUCACGGAAACGAGGUGCUUCUUGCUUAUGAGAAAGCCGAUAUAGAGUACGAAUGGGGAAACCC